UUGAACAAAAGUCACAGAUUCUAAGAUGAACACACAGCCAUUUUUUAAGACCCUUCAUCUUCCUUAAGCUAAAAAAAACCUAGAAUCCUAGCAUGAGCUUCAACGUCUUUCUGAAAAAUACACAAGAUCCUUCAGCCUUUUCUCCUUCUUUUGAACCUAGACAUGAACAUCAGCUUCAAACAGUUGCACCCUUAAAGAGAAAGACCUCCAUCGUCACCUUCAUUUAAGCCGAAGAGAGCCAGUCGGGCAACCCCAUCUCCAAGGCGCUGCUAUUUCUGUCCAAACGACCUAAACCUCAAUGGAGAACAGCAACCAACGAUCUGCUUCUUCACCACCCAUAAUCUUCGACUCCCUCCCAUCCACCACAACAAACAGAAGAAACUUCUCUGUUUAACUAGUAGAUCUCAGCCAUCAAACUAGACAUUUGAGGUUUCGUCUGUCGCUCCAAUUUGGUUCGUGGUUUUUGCUCGAUGUUUAUGGUUGCCCUUAAUCGAGUGGUAGAGCAAGCUUUAAAUCCGUCCAGUCGGCUAUCAACUUUGUUUUGGUGUUGUAAUCGAAGAUUUAUUUUGAAAUAAAGUUCAGAGGUUUCUCCGAUUUGAGGGCCGCUCUUCCUUUCAUUUAAUAUUAUUUCAGUCCAUUUCUCUUGUCCAAAUAAUUUAGAUUUGGUGAAUAAUUUGUGUUUGUAAUCUUAUGCAUGAUAGUCUAAAUAUGUGUAUUUGGAUGAAAUACUUGGUGCUUUGAGCAGUUAUUGCUAUUUGUCAAUUUCGGACUGAAUAUAGUACUACUGCUUUACUUUG
This 797-nucleotide long non-coding RNA is filed under the name Nicotiana benthamiana. RNAcentral describes it as "long non-coding RNA (NBEN_LNC009176)". The record is from RNAcentral. Lineage: Eukaryota; Viridiplantae; Streptophyta; Magnoliopsida; Solanales; Solanaceae.